AGCGGGGGAUAACUAUUGGAAACGAUAGCUAAUACCGCAUAACAAUGGAUGACACAUGUCAUUUAUUUGAAAGGGGCAAUUGCUCCACUACAAGAUGGACCUGCGUUGUAUUAGCUAGUAGGUGAGGUAAUGGCUCACCUAGGCGACGAUACAUAGCCGACCUGAGAGGGUGAUCGGCCACACUGGGACUGAGACACGGCCCAGACUCCUACGGGAGGCAGCAGUAGGGAAUCUUCGGCAAUGGGGGCAACCCUGACCGAGCAACGCCGCGUGAGUGAAGAAGGUUUUCGGAUCGUAAAGCUCUGUUGUAAGUCAAGAACGGGUGUGAGAGUGGAAAGUUCACACUGUGACGGUAGCUUACCAGAAAGGGACGGCUAACUACGUGCCAGCAGCCGCGGUAAUACGUAGGUCCCGAGCGUUGUCCGGAUUUAUUGGGCGUAAAGCGAGCGCAGGCGGUUUGAUAAGUCUGAAGUUAAAGGCUGUGGCUCAACCAUAGUUCGCUUUGGAAACUGUCAAACUUGAGUGCAGAAGGGGAGAGUGGAAUUCCAUGUGUAGCGGUGAAAUGCGUAGAUAUAUGGAGGAACACCGGUGGCGAAAGCGGCUCUCUGGUCUGUAACUGACGCUGAGGCUCGAAAGCGUGGGGAGCGAACAGGAUUAGAUACCCUGGUAGUCCACGCCGUAAACGAUGAGUGCUAGGUGUUGGAUCCUUUCCGGGAUUCAGUGCCGCAGCUAACGCAUUAAGCACUCCGCCUGGGGAGUACGACCGCAAGGUUGAAACUCA
This 781-nucleotide ribosomal RNA is filed under the name Streptococcus thermophilus. RNAcentral describes it as "bacterial SSU rRNA". It matches the Rfam family "Bacterial small subunit ribosomal RNA", at positions 135 to 903 of the family's 1533-position model. The record is from RNAcentral. Lineage: Bacteria; Bacillati; Bacillota; Bacilli; Lactobacillales; Streptococcaceae.